This 442-nucleotide ribosomal RNA is filed under the name uncultured bacterium. RNAcentral describes it as "partial 16S ribosomal RNA". It matches the Rfam family "Bacterial small subunit ribosomal RNA", at positions 338 to 795 of the family's 1533-position model. The record is from RNAcentral.
CCUACGGGAGGCAGCAGUGGGGAAUAUUGGGCAAUGGAGGCAACUCUGACCCAGCAAUGCCGCGUGAAUGAAGAAGGUCUUCGGAUUGUAAAGUUCUUUAAUCAGGGACGAAGAAGAUGAUGGUACCUGAGGAAUAAGCCACGGCAAACUAUGUGCCAGCAGCCGCGGUAAUACGGAGGAUGCGAGCGUUAUCCGGAUUUAUUGGGUGUAAAGGGUGCGCAGGCGGAAGAUCAAGUCAGCGGUAAAAUUGAGAGGCUCAACCUCUUCGCGCCGUUGAAACUGGUUUUCUUGAGUGAGUGAGAGGUAUGCGGAAUGCGUGGUGUAGCGGUGAAAUGCAUAGAUAUCACGCAGAACUCCGAUUGCGAAGGCAGCAUACCGGCGCUCAACUGACGCUCAUGCACGAAAGUGUGGGUAUCGAACAGGAUUAGAUACCCCUGUAGUC